RNAcentral lists this ribosomal RNA (507 nucleotides) under uncultured Chloroflexota bacterium. Its description in RNAcentral is "bacterial SSU rRNA". It matches the Rfam family "Bacterial small subunit ribosomal RNA", at positions 373 to 896 of the family's 1533-position model. Lineage: Bacteria; Bacillati; Chloroflexota. The record is from RNAcentral.
GGGCGCAAGCCUGAAGCAGCAACGCCGCGUGUGCGAUGAAGGCCUUCGGGUUGUAAAGCACUUUAGCAGGGAAGAGAAAGGACGGUACCUGCUGAAUAAGCCUCGGCUAACUACGUGCCAGCAGCCGCGGUAAAACGUAGGAGGCGAGCGUUAUCCGGAUUUACUGGGUGUAAAGCGCGUGCAGGCGGUUGGCUAAGUUGGGUGUGAAAGCUCCUGGCUCAACUGGGAGAGGUCGCUCAAGACUGGCCGACUGGAGAGCAGUAAGGGAAGGUGGAAUUCCGGGUGUAGUGGUGAAAUGCGUAGAUAUCCGGAGGAACACCAGUGGCGAAGGCGGCCUUCUGGACUGCUUCUGACGCUCAGACGCGAAAGCUAGGGUAGCAAACGGGAUUAGAGACCCCGGUAGUCCUAGCCGUAAACGAUGUGAACUUGGCGCUGGGUGGGUAAAACUAUUCAGUGCCGCAGCUAACGCGAUAAGUUCACCACCUGAGGACUACGGCCGCAAGGUUA